Molecule: transfer RNA, 58 nt
Filed under: Diaphanoeca grandis
Lineage: Eukaryota; Choanoflagellata; Acanthoecida; Stephanoecidae
Source: RNAcentral
ACAGCAAAAAGAAAAGGAAAAAAAAAAAAACGGAGAAAAAGAUUCGACGCUGCGACCA